CAGUGCGCACCUGCUGCUGCUGUUUCACGUCUGGAGACUCAACAUGAUGGACGGAGAUGUAAUGCAACAUUUUCGCUGUUGUUGUUGGUUCGUGUUACUUGUCGUGUCCCGAUGCUCUUGGACAUUUUCAAUCGGGACUAUUAAUAAUUGACGCACGUGAAUAUUGACAGAGAAAAAAGAAGCAGAGCCUUGCUGAGGAGACUGAGGAGCCUACCGUUAAAGAACCAGAGCCAAAGGUGCAAGCAGAGCCACAGCAGACCUCCCCCUCUCCACCUCCAAGUCCUGAACCAGUUAAGAUCUGUGAGCCUGAGC
Cottoperca gobio is the source of this 312-nucleotide long non-coding RNA. RefSeq lists it as uncharacterized. The transcript has 3 exons. The record is from RefSeq and is a predicted model, not a curated record. Lineage: Eukaryota; Metazoa; Chordata; Actinopteri; Perciformes; Bovichtidae.